Non-coding RNA from Microcebus murinus (gray mouse lemur), 345 nucleotides. Lineage: Eukaryota; Metazoa; Chordata; Mammalia; Primates; Cheirogaleidae. The record is from RefSeq and is a predicted model, not a curated record.
CAAGUGAUCCUCCUGCCUCAGCCUCCCAAAAUGCUGGGAUUACAGAUGCAUGAGGUAUCUCCAGAUAGGCUACAGUAAGAUGCAGUCCUUCCAAGAUCCAGAGCCGCUCCCAAGGAUAGCUGAAAGAAAGACACAGAUAACCCCUUGAGGGUUGGUAACAAUCAGCAGAACACUAACUGCAAAAUUUACAGAUAAUCUUUUGGUUGGUUGCCUGCACAUGCAGGCCCAAUAACCCACGCACCCCAGACAGGCAGAAAGCAAAGCCUAGUUCUCAGGACAUUCGAGCACUUUGGAGGCCAAGGCAGAAGGAUCACUUAAGCCUAAGAGUUCGAGACCAGCCUAGGC